This 484-nucleotide ribosomal RNA is filed under the name uncultured bacterium. RNAcentral's name for it is "partial 16S ribosomal RNA". It matches the Rfam family "Bacterial small subunit ribosomal RNA", at positions 28 to 507 of the family's 1533-position model. The record is from RNAcentral.
AUUGAACGCUGGCGGCAUGCUUUACACAUGCAAGUCGAACGGCAGCGCGGGCUUCGGCCUGGCGGCGAGUGGCGAACGGGUGAGUAAUGCAUCGGAACGUGCCCAGUCGUGGGGGAUAGCCCGGCGAAAGCCGGAUUAAUACCGCAUACGACCUGAGGGUGAAAGCGGGGGACCGAAAGGCCUCGCGCUAUUGGAGCGGCCGAUGUCGGAUUAGCUAGUUGGUGGGGUAAAGGCUUACCAAGGCGACGAUCCGUAGCUGGUCUGAGAGGACGACCAGCCACACUGGAACUGAGACACGGCCCAGACUCCUACGGGAGGCAGCAGUGGGGAAUUUUGGACAAUGGGGGCAACCCUGAUCCAGCCAUGCCGCGUGCGGGAAGAAGGCCUUCGGGUUGUAAACCGCUUUUGUUCGGGAAGAAAUCCUCUGGGCUAAUACCCCGGGGGGAUGACGGUACCGGAAGAAUAAGCACCGGCUAACUACGUG